GACGAACGCUGGCGGCGUGCUUAACACAUGCAAGUCGAACGGAAAGGCCCUGGAUUUGUGGGGUGCUCGAGGGGCGAAGGGGUGAGUAACACGUGGGUAAGCUGCCAUUGAGUGUGGGAUAACUUCAGGAAACUGAGGCUAAUAGCGGAUAGGAGCUACUGCUGCAUGGUGGGGGUUGGAUAGGUUCGGCGGUUGGGGAUGUACCGGCGUUGGAUGAGCUGGUUGGUGGGGUAGUGGCUUAGCAAGGCGAGGAUCGAGAGCAGGUGUGAGAGGGUGACCAGCCACACUGGGACUGAGACACGGCCCAGACUCCUACGGGAGGCAGCAGUGGGGAAUAUUGGACAAUGGGCGAAAGCCUGAUCCAGCAAUGCCGCGUGAGUGAUGAAGGCCUUAGGGUUGUAAAGCGCUUUUACCCGGGAUGAUAAUGACAGUACCGGGAGAAUAAGCCCCGGCUAACUCCGUG
This 463-nucleotide ribosomal RNA is filed under the name uncultured bacterium. RNAcentral describes it as "partial 16S ribosomal RNA". It matches the Rfam family "Bacterial small subunit ribosomal RNA", at positions 28 to 507 of the family's 1533-position model. The record is from RNAcentral.